Molecule: long non-coding RNA, 205 nt
Filed under: Prunus persica (peach)
Lineage: Eukaryota; Viridiplantae; Streptophyta; Magnoliopsida; Rosales; Rosaceae
Description: long non-coding RNA (PPER_LNC005807)
Source: RNAcentral
CGGGGGCUUCGAGUUGAAGUAUUCGGCCUUGGCGUGGAUGGCCGCUUGCUUCAUCAGUUCGUCAUACGUGCGCCAGUUGCUGCUGUGUAUUAGGUAUCGGAAAUGUGAGGACCGAAGGCCACUCUUAAAGGCGCCGUAGGCUGCCCUAUCGUCUGUUUCUGGACACCUUGAGUACUCGUGACUGAAACGCACCGCAUACUCUCUC